RNAcentral lists this non-coding RNA (26 nucleotides) under Rattus norvegicus (Norway rat). Lineage: Eukaryota; Metazoa; Chordata; Mammalia; Rodentia; Muridae. The record is from RNAcentral.
GUGAAUGAAUGGAAUGCUUACUAAAU